GAAUUGACGGGGCCCGCACAAGCGGUGGAGUAUGUGGUUUAAUUCGAAGCAACGCGAAGAACCUUACCAGGUCUUGACAUCCCCUGACAACCCGAGAGAUCGGGCGUUCCCCUUCGGGGGACAGGGUGACAGGUGGUGCAUGGUUGUCGUCAGCUCGUGUCGUGAGAUGUUGGGUUAAGUCCCGCAACGAGCGCAACCCUCGACCUUAGUUGCCAGCAUUCAGUUGGGCACUCUAAGGUGACUGCCGGCUAAAAGUCGGAGGAAGUGGGGAUGACGUCAAAUCAUCAUGCCCCUUAUGACCUGGGCUACACACGUGCUACAAUGGGCGGUACAAAGGGUCGCGAACCCGCGAGGGGGAGCCAAUCCCAAAAAGCCGCUCUCAGUUCGGAUUGCAGGCUGCAACUCGCCUGCAUGAAGCCGGAAUCGCUAGUAAUCGCGGAUCAGCAUGCCGCGGUCGAAUACGUUCCCGGGCCUU
This 475-nucleotide ribosomal RNA is filed under the name uncultured Anoxybacillus sp. RNAcentral describes it as "bacterial SSU rRNA". It matches the Rfam family "Bacterial small subunit ribosomal RNA", at positions 907 to 1382 of the family's 1533-position model. The record is from RNAcentral. Lineage: Bacteria; Bacillati; Bacillota; Bacilli; Caryophanales; Anoxybacillaceae.